Molecule: unclassified non-coding RNA, 183 nt
Organism: Gopherus agassizii (Agassiz's desert tortoise)
Lineage: Eukaryota; Metazoa; Chordata; Testudines; Testudinidae
Source: Ensembl
UUGACCAUACCAAAGACUAAAAUCCUGUACAGAAUUGUCUGCACAGAAUAGGUAUGAUAUGUGCAGUGGCAAGGCAAGUUUCCUCCAUGUUACUUAGCCAAUGUGCCUCAACCCGGCUCUGGAGGGACCAUUCGUAAGGUAGGGUGUUCAUUAUCCAUAACUUAUUCAGUAUUGGUUGCCUCU